AUCACUUCUCGGCCUUUUGGUUAAGAUCAAAUGUAGUAUCUGUUCUUAUCAGUAUAAUAUCUGGUAUGUCCUCUAUCCGAGGACAAUAUAUCAAGUGGAUUUUGGGAAGUAGGAGUUGGAAUAGGAGCUUGCUCCAUCCACUCCACACAUCGACCUGGUAUUUCAGUGUCUCCAGAAACCGUGAAACAAAU
Molecule: small nuclear RNA, 191 nt
Organism: Myodes glareolus (Bank vole)
Lineage: Eukaryota; Metazoa; Chordata; Mammalia; Rodentia; Cricetidae
Product: U2 spliceosomal RNA
Source: RefSeq, a predicted model, not a curated record